This 385-nucleotide long non-coding RNA is filed under the name Struthio camelus australis. Its description in RNAcentral is "lncRNA (ENSSCUG00000001915.1)". The record is from RNAcentral. Lineage: Eukaryota; Metazoa; Chordata; Aves; Struthioniformes; Struthionidae.
GGGGAACUGGUUUCAACUCGCUGCUCCAUUGAUGGGGAGUUUCCUGCUACCCGAAUCCUUUUCUGCAAGGAUGGGAUGGAGGAGUACAGCCUGAAAGCCAUACGGGGUCAACUGAGUUACUCCGUUCUCCUGAAGGUCUCCCAGGGGAACACGGGGAGGUACAUGUGUGGAUACCAGCACAGGGAUGGGAGCAACCGGAUGAGGAGCUCUGCCCUCAGUGCCCCCUGGGACCUGGCCAUCACAGGCACUGCCACCACUCCCAGCACCAGCCCCCAGGAAAAGCCAUCGCCCACAGGUGAGUCAUUCCUGGGCUCUAUGGGGAUGUGCUGCUCUCCGCUUGUGCCCAUCCUCACCAUGACAUUUCCUCUGCCCUAACACCCUCCAC